Molecule: long non-coding RNA, 708 nt
Filed under: Oryza brachyantha (malo sina)
Lineage: Eukaryota; Viridiplantae; Streptophyta; Magnoliopsida; Poales; Poaceae
Description: long non-coding RNA (OBRA_LNC002509)
Source: RNAcentral
GCUCCUCCUCCUCCUCUCCCGCUCCCGGCGAUCGACCUGCAUGGCCUCGCCGUCGAGCAUAUAUAUACACCCGCGCCACCGGGCGCCCUCUCGCGGGAGCUAGCAUUGAUUGCGAACUAAUUAAUCAGCCGGGUCGCGACGUACAUCACCAGCUAGCUAGCUAGCUAAUCAAAGCCGUGUAGCAGCGGAAGGAGACAUGUCUCGCGCGCUCGCCCUCCUCGCGGCGGCUGUCCUGCUGCUGGCCGCGCACGUGGCCGUCGUCCCGCUCGCCGCCGCGGAAGGAGCGGCCGGCGGUGCCAACGCGUUCGGGGUCGGCUCCGACAUCGGCGGAGUCCCGGUCGACCCGGCGGCGGGCGGCGCCACCGCUUAAUACGAAUUGCGAGGUUGAUCAAUCUCGCCGCUGUUGGCUGGCGAGGUUUUUGUUGCGUCAAAUAAGCUCGAUGUCUACACGAUGACACGUUCAUUUUGUAUGGGUUUUAUGCUUUUAUAUGUGUACAGGAUAAUACUAGCAUGAUCGACAUUAUUAAUUUCUUUUGGUCCCUCGUUGGAUGUCCCUAGCUCGUUUAUUCAAACACCAUCCAAAUAUUCUUUUAUGGAUAUCAGAAUACUCCACAAACAACAAAUUCUAACUCUCUCACACACAAAAACAAACCUAACGGCUUUUUUUUUUUCCAAGUGAAUUUUGGUCGAGCGAAAGAAGUCUGUUUU